UCAUUUUGUUUGUCAACCAGCGUUUUGUGUUCUCAGCACCUGGUUUUGCCCAGUCUCUCUUUUCUUGUCCUCCCUGACCCUGCCUGCUGUUCUGUACCUCUGCCCCCUCUGGAUUACCGAUCUCUGUCUACCCUGACCCUGAACCUGCCUGCUGUUCUGUACCUCUGCCCCCUCUGGAUUACCGAUCUCUGUCUAAGUGACCCUGAACUUGCCUGCUGUUCUGUACCUCUGCCCUCUCUGGAUUACCGAUCUCUGUCUAAGUGACCCUGAACUUGCCUGCUGUUCUGUACCUCUGCCCUCUCUGGAUUACCGAUCUCUGUCUACCCUGACCCUGAACCUGCCUGCUGUUCUGUACCUUCGCAUACUCUGGAUUAUCGACCCCUGCCUUCCUUGAUCUUUGCCCCUGUUGUUACAAUAAACAUUGUUACUUCGACAGUCUGCAUCCAGGGUUUUACCUUGGUUCUGCUGGAGAAAUAACUGCAGAAGAAUGGAAGUGUGAACAUCCUGUGGAUCCUUUCCACUUCAGUUAUGGUUGAUAAAUUAUAUGAAUGGAUUCUCAUGAAUAUGUGGAGGACAAAGAGAUUGUGUUUCUUGAAAUGCAUCAAAGAGAGAGUGCAACAGGAUUUGAAACAUAAUUGGCAUAUUGGCAACAUUACUAACACAAAAUAAAAUGCAAGCCAGAUUUUAAAUCCUCAACACCCAAUAGCUUCAGCGCUAUUGGCAAAAGGAAAAACAUUCAAAUGUUUAUAAAAUGGUACAAUUGAAAUCAUUCUGUACCUAAGAAUGA
Molecule: long non-coding RNA, 787 nt
Organism: Oncorhynchus kisutch (coho salmon)
Lineage: Eukaryota; Metazoa; Chordata; Actinopteri; Salmoniformes; Salmonidae
Exons: 2
Source: RefSeq, a predicted model, not a curated record